UACGUAGGGUGCAAGCGUUGUCCGGAAUUAUUGGGCGUAAAGAGCUCGUAGGCGGUCUGUCGCGUCGGCUGUGAAAACUCGGGGCUCAACCCCGAGCCUGCAGUCGAUACGGGCAGACUAGAGUGCUGUAGGGGAGACUGGAAUUCCUGGUGUAGCGGUGAAAUGCGCAGAUAUCAGGAGGAACACCGAUGGCGAAGGCAGGUCUCUGGGCCGAUACUGACGCUGAGGAGCGAAAGCGUGGGGAGCGAACAGG
RNAcentral lists this ribosomal RNA (253 nucleotides) under uncultured bacterium. RNAcentral's name for it is "partial 16S ribosomal RNA". It matches the Rfam family "Bacterial small subunit ribosomal RNA", at positions 524 to 776 of the family's 1533-position model. The record is from RNAcentral.